Molecule: transfer RNA, 73 nt
Filed under: Urnula craterium
Lineage: Eukaryota; Fungi; Ascomycota; Pezizomycetes; Pezizales; Sarcosomataceae
Description: tRNA-Met
Rfam family: tRNA
About the family: Transfer RNA (tRNA) molecules are approximately 80 nucleotides in length.
Source: RNAcentral
ACCAAGAUAGUUCAAUUGGUUAGAACAUUAAUUUCAUGCAUUAAUAAUGAGAAUUCAAAUUUCUCUCUUGGUU